This 404-nucleotide small RNA is filed under the name Histoplasma ohiense. RNAcentral's name for it is "hypothetical lncRNA". The record is from RNAcentral. Lineage: Eukaryota; Fungi; Ascomycota; Eurotiomycetes; Onygenales; Ajellomycetaceae.
ACUCGUAACAAAAUGCGAUUAGGAACCUUUAUAUAUCUCCUGGCCCGUACGCUGUGUCUCGCCCAUUGUGUUCUAGGAGAAGAGAAGCAGACGAAUGUUCCCAAAAAUCAAUGUUAUGGACUAUGCUUGGAUCCACCCGUUCUCCAGAAAGGCUCCGAAUUAGAUGGGGAAAAAGAAGCUCUGAAUAAAGACGAAGUCAUUCCUUCUCUAACUUCAUCGAACAACUUCAUCAACUACUGUAACGGGAAGACAUUAACAAACGGCACCAAGAUCAAUGAAGGAUCUUGUAACGGCAUCCCCAUGGGCGAGAUUCCAUCAACAAAACACAUGGUUUCUACUCUCAUCACGUCUCCGUUGCCAGGUGAUGAAUUCAAAGUCAAUCAGACGAUUACUUUCAAGGUCGC